This 467-nucleotide ribosomal RNA is filed under the name uncultured bacterium. Its description in RNAcentral is "partial 16S ribosomal RNA". It matches the Rfam family "Bacterial small subunit ribosomal RNA", at positions 28 to 507 of the family's 1533-position model. The record is from RNAcentral.
GACGAACGCUGGCGGCGUGCUUAACACAUGCAAGUCGAACGGAAAGGCUCCAGCUUGCUGGAGUACUCGAGUGGCGAACGGGUGAGUAACACGUGGGUAAUCUGCCCUGCACUCUGGGAUAAGCCUGGGAAACUGGGUCUAAUACUGGAUAUGACCUUUCUCCUUAUGGGGUUUGGUGGAAAGUUUUUCGGUGUAGGAUGAGCCCGCGGCCUAUCAGCUUGUUGGUGGGGUGAUGGCUUACCAAGGCGACGACGGGUAGCCGGCCUGAGAGGGUGAUCGGCCACAUUGGGACUGAGAUACGGCCCAGACUCCUACGGGAGGCAGCAGUGGGGAAUAUUGCACAAUGGGCGGAAGCCUGAUGCAGCGACGCCGCGUGAGGGAUGACGGCCUUCGGGUUGUAAACCUCUUUCAGCGGGGACGAAGCGUAAGUGACGGUACCUGCAGAAGAAGCACCGGCUAACUAUGUG